This 292-nucleotide ribosomal RNA is filed under the name uncultured bacterium. RNAcentral describes it as "partial 16S ribosomal RNA". It matches the Rfam family "Archaeal small subunit ribosomal RNA", at positions 455 to 747 of the family's 1478-position model. The record is from RNAcentral.
GUGCAGCCGCCGCGGUAAUACCGGCAGCUCAAGUGAUGUCCCAUAUUAUUGGGCCUAAAGCGUCCGUAGCUGGCCGACCAAGUCUCCCGGGAAAUCCACCCGCCCAACGGGUGGGCGUCCGGUAGAAACUGGCCGGCUUGGAACCGGAAGGCUCAGAGAGUACGUCCGGGGUAGGAGUGAAAUCCCGUAAUCCCGGACGGACUACCGAUGGCGAAAGCACUCUGGGAAAACGGAUCCGACAGUGAGGGACGAAAGCCAGGGUCUCCAACCGGAUUAGAAACCCGGGUAGUCC